UCCCAGCUGAGCCCUGCAGCCCCGGACCCCAGCAGCAGCAGCACCAAGGGACUGAAGCCACUCUGCUGGGGGCACAUUCAAGGUUCCUGAGACCAGAACCCUCAGGAAAACAGAGGGAUCACCAGACGGGGCGGGGAGCGGGGGGGGGGGGGGGGGGGGNGUCCGCGCAUAUCCCAGCAGCCCUCCCAGCCUCAGCAGCCACCAAAGCCCUCCAAGUUGCAAGGUGCCCUCCAGCCACAGGCCUGGAAGCCCUCGGGGAAGCAGAGCCUCCAGAGGUCCCUGGAGCAGCCAGAGUAAGGCCGAGUCCGCCAGCAGUAGGGCGGCCCAGGGUCUCAGCGCGUGCCUUGUUCUGUGCCCGGCGGCCAGCAGGGGGCGCGCGACACCGCAGACCCAGGAACAGACGCCCAAGUCCUGCUCCACUUGCCAGACACGGGGUUCAGUCUCCCAGCCUCAGCAAAGGUUAUUCUGUAACGGGAAAGUAUUUCAAUUUAAACAAUCGUCACCAACUAAAGUAAAGCUGUUUCCAGGAUUGGGAUGCUUUAUAACUGGAGAACCGCUGGAUUUUCUUACCUCAAAUUCUUACCACCUCAAGCUCUGGACCUAUUUGGAGAACUGCUUCUUCCUCCAAGCCAAAGUGGAAUUUGUGAAAAAUAACCUAGCUAGUAUUUGUACUGGAUAAAGAGGAAGAUACAGCACGACUAACACAAGGUCGAGGUCAAAGAGAAAGAACUAAGACUCUUCCUACAUACAAUAUUAAUGGACGCAUCUCUGAGAGUUCCAGGUGUUCUGGGACAGCUCAAUGGCAAACAUCUGGCAUCCUGAAGACACAGAUUCUUCUCCACUGCAGGAACAAACGUGAUUUCUCCUCAACCUCUCCAAGAAAUGGUGAACUUUCAUAUGAAUAUAAAUAUGUUUUUCCAAAAUAAAUGAGAUACUAUCUUUGUCUCCACUCUGAAAUAUUCAAACUUGCACUACAUUAUGUUGAAAAAUCUGAAAUAAUGAAUGAGAGCAAUAGAUUGGAUUUAGGAAUUUGGAGCCCCCUGUUCUCUUCAAUAAGGAGACUUGUACAGAAUCUCUGGCGCCAUUCCAUAAGGUCAAUGCAAAUUUUGUCAUUUCCAGAGGAGAUUAGCAAUGCUGAUGAGGGGAACCUUUCAGAGGAACUAGAACUGUUAUCCUGAAGCUGCCUCAAUUUAUAGAAAGUACUGUCACUCCCUAAAAUGGACAAUCACAUUUCCAUGAAAUAAAAUGAAAAAAAAAAUUGUCUUAACAUAAGGACACAGUUCUCUUCAGAAACUGAAUGCAAAUUGUUAUGAUGUAACAGCUGAACUUGUGGGGUUUGGAGUCACAUAUAACUUGGCUCAAUCAGGAGGGUACCAUUGACCGGUCUUGCAUCCUUGCAAAAAUUGUUCAUUGUCACCAUUUUAUUCUCUCCACCUGCAGGUACUUCAAUCAAUGAGAUGAUGGGAGGAUUAAACAAAAGUAUAAGUGUUCCCACUGUGGCACAGCAGAAACAAAUCUGACUAGUAUCCAUGAGGAUGCGGAUUCGAUCCCCGGCUUCGCUCAGUGGGUCGGGGAUCUGGUGUUGUCAUGAGCUGUGGUGUAGUUUGCAAAUGGCAGCUCAGAUCCUGCGUUACUGUGGCUGGCUGUGGUAUAGGCCCAGUGGCUACAGCUCCAAUUUGACCCCUAGCCUGGGAACCUCCAUAUGCCAUGGGUGCAGCCCUAAAAAGCAAGAAAAA
RNAcentral lists this long non-coding RNA (1736 nucleotides) under Sus scrofa (pig). RNAcentral describes it as "lncRNA (ENSSSCG00040070360.1)". The record is from RNAcentral. Lineage: Eukaryota; Metazoa; Chordata; Mammalia; Artiodactyla; Suidae.